This 24-nucleotide non-coding RNA is filed under the name Cricetulus griseus (Chinese hamster). Lineage: Eukaryota; Metazoa; Chordata; Mammalia; Rodentia; Cricetidae. The record is from RNAcentral.
CCAUGAUCCUCGCUGAACGACAGA